RNAcentral lists this ribosomal RNA (693 nucleotides) under uncultured Tomentella. RNAcentral describes it as "eukaryotic LSU rRNA". The stretch from base 262 to 416 matches the Rfam family "5.8S ribosomal RNA". The record is from RNAcentral. Lineage: Eukaryota; Fungi; Basidiomycota; Agaricomycetes; Thelephorales; Thelephoraceae.
AGGAGAAGUAAAAGUCGUAACAAGGUUUCCGUAGGUGAGACCUGCGGAAGGAUCAUUACCGAAUUGUCAACACGAGUUGUCGCUGGCCCUCAAAACAGGGCAUGUGCACACUCUGUUCACACAUCCACUCACACCUGUGCACCCUUCCGUAGUUCUAUGGCCUGGGGGGCCCUGCCUUCCUGUUCUAGUUCUACGUUUUUACACACACAACGCAAUGAAGUCUCAUGGAAUGCAUACGUCGCGUCUAACGCAAUACAAUACAACUUUCAGCAACGGAUCUCUUGGCUCUCGCAUCGAUGAAGAACGCAGCGAAAUGCGAUAAGUAAUGUGAAUUGCAGAAUUCAGUGAAUCAUCGAAUCUUUGAACGCACCUUGCGCCCUUUGGCCAUUCCGAAGGGCAUGCCUGUUUGAGUAUCAUGAACACCUCAACUCCUCAUGGCUUGCUGUGAUGAGCUUGGACUUUGGAGGUCUUGCUGGCCUGCAGCUGGCUCCUCUCAAAUGAAUUAGCUUCCCAGUGUUUGGUGGGCAUCACAGGUGUGAUAAUUAUCUGCGCUUGUGGUUCCUGCCAGGACGACCUUCAGUUAGAACACCGGGGGUCUGCUGGAGCUCACAAAUGUCCCUCUCCAGUGGAGGACAGCACUUUGAAUCUUUGAUCUCAAAUCAGGUAGGACUACCCGCUGAACUUAAGCAUAUA